RNAcentral lists this long non-coding RNA (1625 nucleotides) under Nicotiana benthamiana. RNAcentral's name for it is "long non-coding RNA (NBEN_LNC040048)". The record is from RNAcentral. Lineage: Eukaryota; Viridiplantae; Streptophyta; Magnoliopsida; Solanales; Solanaceae.
AUACUUACAAAUAACAACGUACUAGUAAAGAUUCAACUGUACAUUUUUCCCUUAGUCAGUUAUAUUUAAUAAUUUUUUGAGUUUUCGUGAAUUCAGUUUGUAGUUUUGUACUUUUGCGUCCUCAGCACUACAGUAACCCUCGUUUCUCCUCUCUGCCAUUUUGAUGACAAAAACUCUUUCUCUCUAUCUUCCUCUAUCGGUAUUUACGGCUCCGCUUUGUUUGAUCUUCAAAACCUAAGCUAGGGUUUUUGCCUCCAAAUAUUUGAAAAAGCCCUCACCUCUCCGUCCUCUAUCUCGAAUCUCUAGAUUCAAUUUUAGGGUUUACAGAUCUGUUCGACGCCUGCUGUGUAGCUCGCCGUUUAUCUGAUUCGAAUAUGUUUUGGAAGCUUCCAGUUCUUUCCUCUUGUUCUCCAUUACUUCUUGUGGUCGUUUAACUUUGUUGAGCUCGUCAUGAUUUGUUAAUGAUACUUUAGUUUUGAACUAAGUUUCAUGUGAUUUUAUAAUUUGGCACACCUAAAAGUGAAUUCAAAUGUGAGUCGAAUGGUAAUAAUAUUUCAUGUUAAUUGUAUUCAUGAUGAUAAAAACCUCCCCAUAAACCUUAUCUUCCCUUUCCCCAAAAUUCAUCCAAUUUAGCAAUUUCGACCAGCGAUUUCGUCUAUCCUCUUGUUCUCCAGUAUGUUUCUGGAUCCAUCUCUGUCUACUGUUUAAAUAGAUUGAGCUAAUAGAAUUUUAUCGACUCAAUUUUCCUUUAUAUUUUGCUCGUAAAGUUACUUAUUGUGGUCGUUUAACUUUGUUUAGCUCGUCAUAAUUAGUUAAUUAUACUUUAGUUUUGAGCUAAGUUUCAUUUGAUUUUAUAAUUUGGCACACCUCAAAUAAAAAGUGAAUUCAAAUGUGAGUAGAAUCGUAAUAGUAUUGCAUGUUAACUGAAUUCACGAUGAUAACUCUCAAAUCUGACAAAACAAAAAAAUUAAAAAUUAAAAUAUAAAAAAAGAAAAUCAAUUAAAAGAGAUAAGAAAGUUUUCAAAGGAACGAACUUUGGUAAAAGUGAAGAUCUAUGCGAUUUACAACGGUUUUUUAGUUGGAGUAUUUUUCGGAUUGCUGAGUCUUUUUAUAGCUGUAAGCACUAUCUGCUGGCAUGAGUAUUUCGUAAUGUAAUUAUAUGGUACUCCUAGUAUUUUAUGUACAUCUCUUGCAUAACCUGGUUUUGCUUUAUUCUUAUUCCGACAUUGACUAAGUCUAGCUCGCUCUGUAAAUACUGUUCAAUGAAGCUGUUAACCUCAGUGCAGUGUGUGUUUGUUUGCUCUUUCUGUUGACUUUCUUUCCAUCCUGGUGAGUACCGUUGCUUAUGAUAAGACUUGUUUUCCCUUGGAAUUCUAGGUUGAAGCAGUAUUAGACAAGGAAAACUUCACUUUGGAAGAGCUGCUUGAUGAAGAAGAGAUCAUCCAAGAAUGCAAAGCUUUGAACAGUCGUCUCAUAAAUUUGUAUAUUUUCUCCCAUUUCAAACUAUAUAGAUGGGAAGAGCUGCUUGAUGAAGAAGAGAUCAUCCAAGAAUGCAAAGCUUUGAACAGCCGUCUCAUAAAUUUGUAAAAUUUCUCCCAUUUCAAACUAUAUAGAUGCUUUUAAUU